GUGAAUCAUCGAAUCUUUGAACGCACAUUGCGCCCUUUAGUAUUCUGAAGGGCAUGCCUGUCCGAGCGUCAUUAUCAACCGUCAAGCUUGGCUUGCCGUUGGACCCUGUCGACGCCAGUUGCUGGCGACGGCAGGUCCUCAAGGUAACGGCGGUGUCGCGUUGGACCCCAGAUACAACGAGCCGUGUGCGGCACGUAUCUCGGUGGUCCGCCGGCCCAGCCUCGAAAUCUUACAUCUCAAGGUUGACCUCGGAUCAGGUAGGAGUACCCGCUGAACUUAAGCAUAUCAAUAAGCGGAGGA
RNAcentral lists this unclassified non-coding RNA (300 nucleotides) under Herpotrichiellaceae sp. Its description in RNAcentral is "partial contains 5.8S ribosomal RNA, internal transcribed spacer 2, and large subunit ribosomal RNA". The stretch from base 1 to 71 matches the Rfam family "5.8S ribosomal RNA", at positions 84 to 154 of the family's 154-position model. The record is from RNAcentral. Lineage: Eukaryota; Fungi; Ascomycota; Eurotiomycetes; Chaetothyriales; Herpotrichiellaceae.